This 73-nucleotide transfer RNA is filed under the name subsurface metagenome. RNAcentral's name for it is "tRNA-Met". It matches the Rfam family "tRNA". Rfam says of the family: Transfer RNA (tRNA) molecules are approximately 80 nucleotides in length. The record is from RNAcentral.
GGGCUCGUAGCUCAGUGGCAGAGCGGUCGGCUCAUAACCGAUUGGUCGUAGGUUCGAAUCCUGCCGAGCCCAC